RNAcentral lists this ribosomal RNA (948 nucleotides) under Triticum aestivum (bread wheat). RNAcentral describes it as "partial small subunit ribosomal RNA". The record is from RNAcentral. Lineage: Eukaryota; Viridiplantae; Streptophyta; Magnoliopsida; Poales; Poaceae.
AUGUACAAGUCCCGACAAGCCCUACUUCACGCCAAGUCCAAGCUUCAUGAGCAAAACAGAAGACCGCAAGAUGAGCACCAACAAGACGGAACUACGGCUACCACCACCACUUCGGCAUCUUCGCCAAGUGCUAUCAAGGCAUCUUCACAUUUGGACGUACGGAAUCUUCGCCUACUUCCCACGAGUUCGCCUACAUCGACAUCUUCAACAACAAGGCGACCACCUACAAGUGAGGGCGACACUUCCAUCUUCGGAAGCCCCUCAAGGAAGAUAGCCGAGCAUGGGAAUUUCCCUUCGGUCAUGGAGACGAGCUACGAGGUGCCACAUCAUAUGGGCAUCCAACACCAAGACGGCGACAAGAAGGUCGAGCAAGGGCCAUCCCCUUCGACCACGAUGAUAGGAGUUGAGCAUGGAGAUAUUUGCACCUACAUCUCUCCGACACCCACAUAUGUCGAGAUGCCCCAUUUAUCAUGUGAGGAGAGUCACCACCCCAUGAGUGAGAUGAGUGACUCCACCAUAUAUGACAUUGAGAGCAUUUCCUAUGAGAGGAUGAGUGUGACCACCACUAGCCCCACACAUGAGAUCAUGCCACACAUCCUAUGUGAGGUUGAGCGCCAUUUGAGUGACUCCACCAACCAUAUGAGUGAGAGCAUCCUUGAGGGAGUGAGUGAGCCACAACACUUAGCGAGUGAGGUAGUUGACACGGAACGUGAGGCCACUUUGAUUUCUAACGACUUGACCUCUACUCCGAGUGUAUUUUCUUUGGUGCUAGGUCUCCUACAUGACGACAUGCCUAUCCUCGACGAGUCCAUCCCUCCAAUGGAUACAACGAUGGCCAUGGUGGACAAUGAUGCACCUCCACAUGGUUCCAUCAAGAUGAAGAUGACAAUGAGUGGAUCGUCAACACCUCAGCUACAACACAUGAGCGAUGCUCCAAAGGUAACAUAG